UUGCAGAAAGACAGCCGGCAGAGCACAGGGUGUGUCAACUAUGAUUGUCCUGGUAUCCAGCUUGUGAGCGGGUCUCCAAUAUUCCCCGGAGAUGUCAUAGCCCCAGUAGCCCAGGUUAACAGGACACAACAAACUAUCACCAUUAAGCUGUUCAGGACCAAGUUGAACGGGAACUGGUGGUUGCAUGCUGGUGUAAACGACGAGGACCCGAUCCCGGUCGCCUACUUCCCGGCGUCACUAUUUGACGACUUCUUCUACAAAGCAACUCAAGUCGUGUUGGGUGGCCAUACUCUCAAGUCUAAGACUACCACACCUCCUCCAAUGGGCAGUGGAGCCUUCGGCGCUGAGUGGGACAAUGCGGCGCUGAUCCGAGACAUUCAUGUCAUCAUGGAGAAUGGGAGGAGCAACUUUAUCGACGAUGAUCUGUCCACCGAUGUCACUGAUGUCAAGCUUUACUCCCUCUCGCCAAUUUCAGCAGGCAAAUUCACUUACGGAGGACCAGGAAGGAAGAACUAG
Molecule: ribosomal RNA, 516 nt
Filed under: Triticum aestivum (bread wheat)
Lineage: Eukaryota; Viridiplantae; Streptophyta; Magnoliopsida; Poales; Poaceae
Description: partial small subunit ribosomal RNA
Source: RNAcentral